RNAcentral lists this long non-coding RNA (2135 nucleotides) under Solanum tuberosum (potato). Its description in RNAcentral is "long non-coding RNA (STUB_LNC003412)". Lineage: Eukaryota; Viridiplantae; Streptophyta; Magnoliopsida; Solanales; Solanaceae. The record is from RNAcentral.
UUUCUCUCAACUAAAACCCUAGGCGUAAACUAGGAUUACAAAACUGAACCUAAUAGUAUUAGACCCUUAAAAUAUUACUAAAAACGAAUUAAAUCUGAUUGGGUAAGGAAAAGACCAAAAUACCCCUUACUAUUUCCGGCUAACUUUCCUUAACUGGGCAGCCUAACUUCAAAAGGCCAUAUCUCACUCAUCCAAACUCGAAACUUAGCAAACUUGACGGCGUUGGAAAGAUAAUUCAAAGUUCUUUCCUACGGUAACUGGUAGAACGCCUAAAUCAUCCUGAGCUAAGAGUUAUGGUCGUUUGAAGUCAACCCAAAACUCAUACUUAGCUUAACUUGUAAAAUUUCAGAUUUUGCUAAUUCCAAUUUAAUUCUUUUUGGAACUCAAGGUGCUACAUCUAGUGACCUUAACGCUUAAUAAAUUUUAAUUCCUCGGUAAAAUUCUACUCACAACGAAGGAUGGUUCAAGUCUUAGUUCGAAAAAAUUUCUGGGGUGUUACACAACUGUAAGCACAUACUGAAAUUGAGUGAAAGCACAUACACUCUCAACCUAUCGAGACUUAAAUAAAAAAAAUGAGAAAUGCUAAAAUAAGUAAAAGCACAAUUGACUAAACAAUAUCAGCCAACUUUGAAAAUUCAACAAGGAAUUUUAUGACGUGUUGAUUAAAAUUUGCAAAGGCCAUCACAUUAAAGCUCAUAGAUAAGAAAUAACCAGUACCAAGGCUAAGUAUCAAAUAAGUUCAUGUCAGAUUUUCAUAUUAGACAAGGACAAGAAAAUUAUUUUCUGGAAAGUAAACGUGAACUUUAGGUAAAUCGAUGCAUUGCAAUAGAUGAGAUGCGAACAUAAUAUCAUGAAUAGGAACCAAUGAGAUAUAGACAUCACUCAAACUACUCGCGAAAACAGGGGUGAAUCAUACAAGAUUAGGCUAAACUUUAUUGGAAAGCUACAAUCAUGAAGCGACACAAUUAGAAGGGACAUCCGGGAACACAAAGAAACAGUAAAGAGGAUGGAACAGCACAGCCGACACAAACGGAUAUUCCUCAACUUGAACUAACUAGCUUAUCUACAUGGAAUAUACGGCCGAUUCUAUUAAAUAAAGAAAAUUAAUGAUGCACUAAGCAACAGAUAAAUCACAACUUUUAAUUUGCAAAUAAUAAAUGUAGAAAACAACCUAUAUAUUAGGUCAUGUAAGUCGAAAUCACCUGUAGAAGAUGAUUUCGAGUUUCACGACUGAACCACAACUUUCACAGCUCACUAGCCGAGAUAAGAGCGAAAUAAAAGAUUCCAACAAUGAGAACAAGAACUCGGGAGGGGGGAAACAUCAGACUUCAACGAAAAUGAAAACAAACAACAACUAUGGACUUUCAAACAAAUCCUAUCACUGAUUUGCAACCAACAGUAGUGUAUCAAAGACAUUCCAAAUCCUAGCAUGUAAGGAGCUCACACAUUCGAAAGUCAACUAACAACACAUUACGAGCAAAACGUAGAAACGAAGUGAGUGUUACCUUUAAAGGUGCAGCAAAACCGAGACAGAUCGAGCUAGAAUGGGCAGCGACCUCUUACACCACUUCAAAACUCGAGCAAAUAACCGGAAUAUCCGAACUGACUUCGAACAAAGACUCUUUCAAAACCAAAAACUAAAACUGCAUUACGAAUUUCUCAAGUGUAAAAAUCAAUUGCUCAAGAAAACUCCCCACUCUUUCUCCAACCCUUUACAGUGAAUAAGGGUAGAAUAUAUAUAGGCAAAAUUAGGGUUCGGAUUUGGGGGGAAAACGGAUAGAAUUCGAAUAGGAAUGAGACCCACCCCAAAUUCAAACUUCAAAAUCUUUCACCAUUAAAGAAAGACAUACUUUUUCCUGCAAAUUCAACCCAUUCCGAAAGAGGAAAGGGCGAGAUGGGCGCCCGGGAUCGAUUCAUUCGUCCUUGGGCGCGACGUGGAGUAAUCUCAUGGCUACAAGGACUGAGACGUGGCUUGGUGCUCUGCUGCAGGUACAAAUUGGAAAGGGACAUUGAGGAAGAAGACAAGAAAAAUGCAGAGUACUGCUUGCUUGCUACUGCUUUUCCGUCUGCCUCCGCUUGCUUCCGUGAAUUAAAUCGUUGGAAUUUGACGCGUAAUGUUGUUGAUAUGAAUGUUG